CCCUACGGGGUGCAGCAUGCGCGAAAACUUUACAAUGCGAGCAAUCGUGAUAAGGGAACUCCGAGUGCCUGUAAAAUCAGGCUGUCCGCCAGUGUAAAUAACUGGCGAAGAAAGGGCCGGGCAAGACCGGUGCCAGCCGCCGCGGUAAUACCGGCGGCUCGAGUGGUGGCCACUAUUACUGGGCUUAAAGCGUUCGUAGCUGGCCUGUUAAGUCUCUGGGGAAAUCUUCCGGCUCAACCGGAAGGCGUCUCAGGGAUACUGGCAGGCUAGGGACCGGAAGAGGUGAGAGGUACUCCAGGGGUAGGAGUGAAAUCCUGUAAUCCUUGGGGGACCACCUGUGGCGAAGGCGUCUCACCAGGACGGCUCCGACAGUGAGGAACGAAAGCUGGGGGAGCAAACCGGAUUAGAUACCCGGGUAGUCCCAGCUGUAAACGAUGCGCGUUAGGUGUAUCGGUGACCACGAGUCACCGAGGUGCCGAAGAGAAAUCGUGAAACGUGCCGCCUGGGAAGUACGGUCGCAAGGCUGAAACUUAAAGGAAUUGGCGGGGGAGCACCACAACAGGUGGAGCCUGCGGUUUAAUCGGACUCAACGCCGGGAAACUCACCAGUUAAGACAGCUGAAUGAUAGUCGGGCUGAAGACUCUACUUGACUAGCUGAGAGGAGGUGCAUGGCCGUCGUCAGUUCGUACUGUGAAGCAUCCUGUUAAGUCAGGCAACGAGCGAGACCCG
RNAcentral lists this ribosomal RNA (729 nucleotides) under uncultured archaeon. RNAcentral describes it as "bacterial SSU rRNA". It matches the Rfam family "Archaeal small subunit ribosomal RNA", at positions 321 to 1054 of the family's 1478-position model. The record is from RNAcentral.